Long non-coding RNA from Myotis davidii, 786 nucleotides. RefSeq lists it as uncharacterized. The transcript has 2 exons. Lineage: Eukaryota; Metazoa; Chordata; Mammalia; Chiroptera; Vespertilionidae. The record is from RefSeq and is a predicted model, not a curated record.
UAUAUACCCAAAAUAAAUGAAAACAAGUUCUCUUUUAAAAAUUGUAAAACAUACAGAAAACAGUAUAACAGAUACUCAGUAUCCAUCACUAGACCCAGCAUAUGUUUCCAACCUUUAAAAUUUUUUUAUAUGGCUAACGCUCCACUCAUCCCCAUCCUUUCCCCUCUGUACUGUCCCCAGAACCCUAGGUGUCAGCACAAUCCUGAAGUCGGCCCUGAAUGAGACAGCAGUGUACAGAGAUAAGUAAAAUAUAUCCUUGCCCUUAAGGAGCACGUACAAGCACUCAAGACCUAUAAUCCAUCUCAAGUCCCCAGAACAUGGGUGCUCAGAAGCAGCAGUGGUGUGGUGGCAAGGGCAUCAGAACCUGCAAUCCAGCCUGUGAUACUGCACAAGUCACUCACUCCCUCUGAUAUGAGCUCACUUCACACACUUGCUGGAAGGGUUCACUGUGUUAGGUUGAUCCCUGGUUUUCUUUUCAAACAGAAAAACUAGAGAAAUCAAGGGAUUUGCCCAUAGAUUAUCUAGAAAUGGGGUAAGAACCAGACUCUGAUCCCCUACUAAAUCUAUACACCAUGCCAGCUCUUCUAGGGACCCAGAAUGAAGUCAUACAAAAGCACAUGCUAUUCCAGGCAGGGUAGGGUAGGAUGAAAGAAAAUGGCGUAAGUAUCAGUAUCUCAGAUUAUUCAGCGAUCUCAAGUGAGGCUGAGAGGAGCAGGUGGGCCUAAAAAGGAGUGUUCUAGAACAAAAGAAGGGGGCAUGAGUGGUUUGAAACUGCAGAAGUUCAAA